GUUUUUACUUUGGGGACACAUACUAAAAUUGAAGCAAUACAGGGAAGAUUAACAUGAUCCCUUCAAAAGGAAAACAUGAAAAUUCAUUAAAUGUCCCGUAUUUUU
Molecule: small nuclear RNA, 105 nt
Filed under: Dasypus novemcinctus (nine-banded armadillo)
Lineage: Eukaryota; Metazoa; Chordata; Mammalia; Cingulata; Dasypodidae
Source: RNAcentral